This 476-nucleotide long non-coding RNA is filed under the name Heterocephalus glaber (naked mole-rat). RNAcentral describes it as "lncRNA (ENSHGLG00100041212.1)". The record is from RNAcentral. Lineage: Eukaryota; Metazoa; Chordata; Mammalia; Rodentia; Bathyergidae.
CGGAACCCUGGAGUCACCGGGCACCACAGUCCAGUGGCGGCUGCCCAACAGUCACUUGGCUGGAGAGAGUCAGCAGCGAUCAUGCUGUGCCACUUUCCCAGGCCGCAGCAAUAGGACCCCCCGCAGGGAAAGCACUUAGGCGCCAGUGAGAGGAUGGAUGGCUAAGUCCCCGUGCUUCAGGCCACUCACCAGGAACUGCCUGGCCUUCAGGGGCAGCACAGGGCGGGUCUCCCCAGACCCAGAGACCUGGGGACCUAAGAUGAGCGGGAGCCCAGGGCAGAUCUCCCUGGACCUGGACAUCAGACACUCAGGGCCACCGAGUCCAGGACAGGUCCAGUUAGGCCCGGCCACCACUGAGCACAAGGUUACCCGGGGCAGAAACAGCACAAACUGUGGUCAGGCAGAGCCUUGUGCUUGCUGCCGGCUGCCGGGCACUGUCCCCACAGAGCUGCACACAGGACACUGUGUCACUUCCG